Molecule: long non-coding RNA, 2435 nt
Filed under: Zostera marina
Lineage: Eukaryota; Viridiplantae; Streptophyta; Magnoliopsida; Alismatales; Zosteraceae
Description: long non-coding RNA (ZMAR_LNC005866)
Source: RNAcentral
UUUAAGCUUUCUCUUUCUUUUUAAUAUAGGAGGCUUGUUUUAAUAACCGGUUAUUGUAUGUAACCGGUUAUUAAUUGGAUGUAACCCGAUUAAGGGUAAAAACGUAAAAUACUAUGAAUAUAAAAAUAAAAUGAUAGAAAGAAAGAGAUUAAAACAGAAAGGAAAAACGGAAAGAGGAGGGGGAAGAAGGAGGGCGACUAGGAGAAAGGGAGGACGGCUUGGGCAUCGUGGCUUGGAUCUGUAAGGGGGCACCGGGGUCGUGGUGUGGUAAGUGUGAGGCUCGACAGGUAGCGGAAGAGGUAUGUAGAGUUUUAGAUUUAGAAAUGAGAUAAGGGAUAUCUUGAUGGGAAGAAAGGGUAGAUGUGAAUGAAAGAAGCAUCGGAGUAGAUCCGAUCUUGAUGAAUGUGUUCAUGGAUGAUAAGGGAAUGAAAUGGUAGGAUACCCAAACACCUUGGAUAAUCCGUUCCAUGGAUUUAACUAUUGCUAACUGUGGAUGAUUGAGUUUAGUUGGGUUUAAUAUUUUAUUGUCAUCUUUAGUAUGUUAUUGUUUCAUUUUAUUGCCGUUUAUUAUUUUAUUAUAUCGUGAUGGGUUUAAUAUUUUAUUGUCAUCUUUAGUAUGUUAUUGUUUCAUUCUACUGUCGUUUAUUAUUUUAUUAUAUCGUGAUGAAUAUGAUCAUGGGUGAUAACGUAUUUAAAUGGUAGGAUCAUGGAUUUGAUUAUUGUUGCUCACUGUUGAAAAUUGGAUUUAAAUGUGAUAAUGCUAUCUUCACCUUGUUGCUGCCUGUAUUUUGUCUAUAUGUGUUGCUGCCUAUAUUAUGGUUGAGUAUCAUGAUUUUCUCUAUUUUGUUACUGUGGAUUUCUAUUGAUGAUUGGGUUUAAUGGGGUUUAAUGUGAUAUUGUUAUCUUCAUCUUGUUGCUGCCUAUAUGUAUUGCUACCUAUAUUUUGGAAUGUUGGGCCUAUAAUGGGGUUUAAUGGGUUUAUAUAUUAUAUUGCUGUCCAUUUAUGUUGCUAUCAAUUUUAUUGCAGUUUAUUAAUUAUCUCUAAUGUUAGAUGAUCAACAUGUUAUCGGGUACUCAUUGUAGCAAGCCAAAUACUUAUCAUGUGGGAGGGUUGGAUACUAUAGGAUUGCAUGCUAGAUUGGCAUGUAAAUUGUCUCGGUUAAAUAUCACAUUGCUGUCCUGUUUUGUGGUCGUCGAUGAUAUAGCAGAUUAUUGAUUUAUCCCUAUCUUUAGAUGGUUUACAUACUAUUGAGGGCAUGUUAGAUUUGCAUAUAAGUUAUUUAUCAUUGUGGGUUGUUUCGAUUAAUUUAUUUCGGUUUAGAUAAUGAACAUGUUUUAGAUGUGUAUGUUGGGUUAGAAGUUAAGAUAUUUAUCAUAUGGUUUUGUUUUAAGUACAUGUUGCAUGUUGAGUUAAAAUGAUGAUAGGAUUAAGGGGAGGAAAUUUACAUGAAUGGACAAGGAAAUAAGAAUAGAAAUAUAUGUAUGAAUGGUUUAAUGAAUAAAUGAAAGGAUGCAUGAAUGAGAUAUGACGCCUAGCCAAUGGUGACUGACGAAUGACGACCCGUAUGGGUUUAUGAAUGAUGCAUGAUUGAUACUAUUCAACUGAAUGUUUAUUUACGCAUGUAUAAUGUUAAUUGAUAACGUUAGAUAAUUGCUGGUGUUUAUGCUUUACAUACUAAGUGAUGUAAUCACUCACGGAUACGUGAUAUGUUGCCGGGAAUGGAGGCAACUUUGCCUAACUGGAGUGGUAGGAGACAACGGACUCGUCGAGGUGACGAGGCAUGUCGGCGUAGAGUGUGAAACGAUGUAGUCAUUGUCCUUGGCUUUGGUUGUAAUAAGUUCUAGUUUAAGUUUUUGAGUGGUUGUAGUGUACUCUAUUAUAUUGAACUUCCAUUUGGAAUUAAAAUCAUUGUUUAAUCAUUUCAUGAUAAUUAAAAACCAGUUUGGCUAAUAGAACUUUGGCUAUCCCUAGGGCUGAGCCUUAAUAUGUAAUUUUCCAUACCAGGCCCACCGCAGACCAGGACUAACAAACCCAUUUAGUCUGACAAGAUAGGCGGGCCCGUUAUGUCCCGACGGAUCGAGUUGGUUGGGUCGGAUUGAACCCACUACACAGGAAAAUGGUCCAAUCCAGUAGAAAAGUGUAUAGAUAUCCCUAGGGGCUGAAUGCAGAGAAGGAGGAAACAUUUGAAUGACACUCGUAACAAAGAUUCGUCUGGUAUAUACUUAAUACUAAACGAUAAGGAUGAUGCCGGAAGAUGCCAUUCGACGAUGGCCGGAGCUAUAUUCGGAUGAGUGAUUUGGAAAAAUAAAACGCUCAAAUGUGAGAGAGAGAAAGAAGUUGGAAUUGAAUCAAUUGAUAAAAGUCUAUUUAUAGUAAUUGUAUUAACAUAGAUUAAUUUAACUAAUUAACCAAUUACUUAACUAAUUUAACCAAG